GGGGCGCACGGUACGAGGUUCACCGCGCCGCCAGACUCCCCACCGAAAUCCCCUUCCGAUCUAGGGCAAUCGCAGUGCUCACGGGAAUCACCACUUCCACCUCUCUGUUUUGAUCCCUCUGCCAUCACCGGCCCCUACAUCACCAUGGCCGGCUCUGGAUCGAGCUCAUCCACACCCAAGGAAGGAGGCUUUCACUUGAUGAGUUGCCUAAAAGAAGUUCCGACACUCAGAGGUGACAAACACACUGAGUGGAGGAAAAAAGUUGAACUGGCAUUUGUUUGUGCUGAUCUGGACUGGGUUCUGGAUGAACCACAGUCGGUCAGACCUACAGAGCCAGUAAGAGAGACUACUGAGGAUGAUGCUGCAUGGGCUAAAAGGAAGGGGGAUUAUACUCCUUUGGAAAUGUCCUACAUCAUAGCCAACCAAAAGUGGGUCAAUGCAAAUAAAAAAUGCAUGGCCUUUAUAAAGAAUACAAUUGAGAGCACAAUUGUGGGCUCCAUUGCAGAGUGCGCUUCAGCAGCGGAGUUGCUGACAAAGAUAAAGAGCCAGUUCACUGACUCUUCAAAGAUAUAUGCCACCCAGGUUAAAAAACUUGUGACGGAACAAUACACAGGUGGUGGAAUAAGAGAGCACAUCCCGAGGAUGAGCAAUAUGGCAGCAAAGUUAAAGCCUAUGGAUGAGGAUCUGGAGAUCAAACCAAAGCUCCUGGUCCACCUUGUCAUGGCUUCACUGCCAAAGGAGUUUGAGACUUUUGUUGUGAAUUAUAAUAUGUCACCUGGAACAUGGGACAUAGAAAAGACAAUUGCUAUGUGUGUCCAAGAAGAGGACAGACUAAAAGCUUCACAUGGUGGAAUACUCAACUAUGUGAAGGAUCAUAAGAAAAAGAACUACAAUCAAAACAACAAAAGUUCUCCUUCAAAGCCACAAGGAAAAGCUCCCUAUCAGCAUCAGCGUCAGCAACAGUCUUUCCCAGUGGACAAAGACACUUGUCUCCACUGUAAGCAGACUGGGCAUUACAAGAAAGACUGCCCUGUUUGGCUGAAGUCCUUAAUGGCAAAGCAAGGUAACAACAUUGUUUCCUUAGUAAAUGAAUCCUUGUACACACAGUUUUCGAAAUCUACUUGGUGGAUUGACUCAGGGGCAACUGUUCAUGUUGCAAAUUGUUUACAGGGAUUCCAUUCGACCCGGACUACGCUAAGAAGAGAAGGAGGCAUUGAAGUAGCCAAUGGAAUAAAAGCAGAAGUUGAAGCUGUCGGCGACAUCUCCUUGGAGUUAGCUGAUGGAUUCAAGCUUCUACUUAGAGAUAUUCUUUAUGUUCCUUCAUGUAAUAGAAACUUAAUUAGCAUUUCAUGUUUGGACAAAGAAAAUUAUGAGUGUUAUUUUGGACAUGGCAAGUGUGCCAUCUGGUAUAAUAAUGCUUAUGUUGGUAAU
RNAcentral lists this ribosomal RNA (1431 nucleotides) under Triticum aestivum (bread wheat). Its description in RNAcentral is "partial small subunit ribosomal RNA". Lineage: Eukaryota; Viridiplantae; Streptophyta; Magnoliopsida; Poales; Poaceae. The record is from RNAcentral.